Molecule: long non-coding RNA, 1462 nt
Filed under: Macaca fascicularis (crab-eating macaque)
Lineage: Eukaryota; Metazoa; Chordata; Mammalia; Primates; Cercopithecidae
Description: lncRNA (ENSMFAG00000051400.1)
Source: RNAcentral
ACUCACUCACUAUCAUGAGAACCAGAUGGGGAAAACUGCCCCCAUGAUUAAAUUAUCUCCACCUGGGGAUAAUCCCAUGUGAGGAUUAUGGAAACUACAAUUCAAGAUGAGAUUUGGGUGGGGACAUAGUCAAACAAUAUCAGAUGUAAUUCACAUCCCAUCGACUUCCCUCAUUUAAGGAAUACAAUUCAACAGAUUUUAGUAAAUUCAGUGUUCUGCAUACACCACCACAGUCAACCUGGGAACUUUCUUAUUAUCCCCAAAGAAACCCUUCACCUCUAGUCAUUACCCCCAAACUCCUCAGUCCCCCUGAUUCUCCCCCACAGUCCUUGGCAACCACAAAUCUCCUUUCUGUCUCUAUGCAUUUGCAUAUUCUGGACAUUUCACAUAAACCGAAUCAUAGAAUAGGAGGCCCUUUGUAUCUGGCUUUCUUCACUCUUAGCAUGAUGUUCUCAAGAUGCAUCCAUACUGUGGUGUGGAUCAACGCUUCCUUCUUUUAAGGGCUAUGUGUAAUAUCCUGCUGUAGGGAUGCCUCACAUUUAAGAGGUGCAUAGUUUUGAAAUAGGCUCCACGUGUUUAUGAAGGAGCUGCAAAGUCAAAUUACAAGGAGCGUGGAUACAGAAAGGGGGAGAAUUGAGGCCAUUUUGGCAAACCGUCUACCCAGCAGAAUCAGUUCAUUUACGGCUCUUUGCUUGCAUUGAUUUUGUUACAGGUGACGAUGUUCCCAGUCCCAGGCAAUGAAUCAUGAUUGGACCAAGCCGAGCAAGGCUGUCUCAUUCCUUUGGCCAAUGACUCAUCCAGAGGAAACAUGUGACACAGUUCUGACCAAUGACGAGUAGGGAGAGUCCGCCAGGGUCUCUGAGAAAGCAUUUCUUCCCUCAUAGAGAAAGAGCUGCACAACAAGCCCUUUUGUCUCCUUUUCAAGCGGUUUUCGAGGCUCAUUUUGACCACGCAUGAUUUUUGCUUUAUGCUCCAUCUAUGCAACUAUCACUGUGUAUACUGAGUAGAAAAGUGAGUCCCUCAAAAGACCCAGAACCUCAGAAUGUGACCUUAUUUCAAAACAGGAGCUCCACAGGUAUAAUCAUGUUAGCAUAAGGUCCUCCUAGAUAAGGGUGCUUCCUAAUCCAAUGACUGAUGUUCUUCUAAGAAGACAGAAAAACAGGCUUGGUGUGGAGGCUCAUACCUGUGAUCCCAGCACCGUGGGAGGCUAAGGCAGGAGGAUGGCUUGAGCGCAGGAGUUUGAGACCAUCCUGGGCAACAGUGUGAGACAUCAUCUCUGCAAAAAUGUUUAAAAAUAGUAGAGUGUGGUGGUGCGUGCUUGUGGUCCUAGCUACUCAGGAGGCUGACAUGAGAGGAUUGUUGAAGCCUAGGAUAUCAAGGCUACAGUGAGUCAUGUUCAUGCCACUGCACUCCAGCCUGGGCAACAGAGCAAGACCCUGUCUCAACAGAAAAAAAAAAAAAA